This 426-nucleotide ribosomal RNA is filed under the name uncultured Opitutus sp. RNAcentral describes it as "bacterial SSU rRNA". It matches the Rfam family "Bacterial small subunit ribosomal RNA", at positions 355 to 774 of the family's 1533-position model. The record is from RNAcentral. Lineage: Bacteria; Pseudomonadati; Verrucomicrobiota; Opitutia; Opitutales; Opitutaceae.
UUUCGAAUCAUUCACAAUGGGCGAAAGCCUGAUGGUGCGACGCCGCGUGAGGGAUGAAGGCCUUCGGGUUGUAAACCUCUGUCACCGGGGAAGAAACGCUGCAUUUUAAUAGAAUGCAGCCUGACUUAACCCGGAGAGGAAGCAGUGGCUAACUCUGUGCCAGCAGCCGCGGUAAUACAGAGACUGCAAGCGUUAUUCGGAUUCACUGGGCGUAAAGGGUGCGCAGGCGGCCAUGUGUGUUGGGCGUGAAAGCCCGGGGCUUAACCCCGGAAUUGCACCCAAAACUACAUGGCUAGAGCAUUGGAGAGGGUAGCAGAAUUCAUGGUGUAGCAGUGAAAUGCGUAGAUAUCAUGAGGAAUACCAGAGGCGAAGGCGGCUACCUGGACAAUUGCUGACGCUCAGGCACGAAAGCGUGGGGAGCAAAAG